UUCUUAUUGCAUUCUCUUUCA
This is a non-coding RNA of Caenorhabditis elegans, 21 nucleotides long. The record is from Ensembl. Lineage: Eukaryota; Metazoa; Nematoda; Chromadorea; Rhabditida; Rhabditidae.